GACGAACGCUGGCGGCGUGCUUAACACAUGCAAGUCGAACGGAAAGGCCCUGCUUUUGUGGGGUGCUCGAGUGGCGAACGGGUGAGUAACACGUGAGUAACCUGCCCUUGACUUUGGGAUAACUUCAGGAAACUGGGGCUAAUACCGGAUAGGAGCUCCUGCUGCAUGGUGGGGGUUGGAAAGUUUCGGCGGUUGGGGAUGGACUCGCGGCUUAUCAGCUUGUUGGCGGGGUAGUGGCUUACCAAGGCUUUGACGGGUAGCCGGCCUGAGAGGGUGACCGGCCACAUUGGGACUGAGAUACGGCCCAGACUCCUACGGGAGGCAGCAGUGGGGAAUAUUGCAAAUGGGCGGAAGCCUGAUGCAGCAACGCCGCGUGCGGGAUGACGGCCUUCGGGUUGUAAACCGCUUUCGCCUGUGACGAAGCGUGAGUGACGGUAAUGGGUAAAGAAGCACCGGCUAACUACGUG
Molecule: ribosomal RNA, 467 nt
Filed under: uncultured bacterium
Lineage: Bacteria
Description: partial 16S ribosomal RNA
Rfam family: Bacterial small subunit ribosomal RNA
Source: RNAcentral